This 661-nucleotide small RNA is filed under the name human gut metagenome. The record is from RNAcentral.
AGCUAAUAAGUGGUGCAGUAUCCUAGUCGGAUCUGUCAGCUUGUAAGGUGGGCCUAAAAAUCCACUAAAGGGCAUAUCGAUGAAGUUCCUUGUGUUUGCUUCUUACGCCCAGUCUGGGGCAGAUGCUGGGAGUUAAGGUUUAAGGGCGCACCCGUAACGGCAUACGGGCGUUGUCCCUUUUACCGCGGAGACCUAAAUUCGUGGCGGUUAGUCAAAGGGCUUUAGUCUUUUUGAAAAGAACCUUUUUCCAAAAAGGCAAAGUACCUUUCUAUAAUGCUUUGCGCUACGGUUUAGGCUGUAACCUGUUUUGCGGUGUAGGUAACAAUAUGCUGUGAGCAGAGUAGCCUGCCUUGAGUGAGCAAAUACGGAUAACCGUCAGACGCGCUUUCUAAUGGCCUUUGAACGAUGCGUUAUAGGGUUUGAAAUGGUGCUUGCAAAAGAGGAUAAGAGUUGACACGACCGUUGAGGAAAACUCCUAGGCUGUGUUAUGCGGGGGAUUGCAGUGCGGACUAAGUGGCAAUUCAGUCAUAUCUUUGGCGACAGGGUAUGCCGUGCCUUAAUAGGAAACUGCCGUUUUGGCGACGAAACGGCGGCGCGGCGGGAAAUCCAACUGAACCUAAGCCGUAAAUUUUACUUCGUAUAAUACCACUUUUAUUUUAAA